This 898-nucleotide ribosomal RNA is filed under the name Simulium siamense. Its description in RNAcentral is "partial 16S ribosomal RNA". The record is from RNAcentral. Lineage: Eukaryota; Metazoa; Arthropoda; Insecta; Diptera; Simuliidae.
UUUUAAUAUAUCUAGUUUUUUAAGAAAUUAAUUUAAUUUAAAUAUUUAAUUUUAAUUUUUUAUUUUCUUUAGAAAGUUAUAAUUAAAUAUUAAUAUUUUAAGGGAUGAGCUUUAAAAUAAAAAUUUAUAAAUAAUUUUUAUUAAUUUAAUAAUUGUAAGCUUAGAAUUAGUUAUCAAUAGAAAUUAUGUUUUAAUUUAUUUUUAAAAUUAAUAUUAUUUAAUAUUUAUUUUAUUUUUUAUAUUAAAAUAUAAAUUUUAAUUUUGUAAAUUUAUUAAUAAUGAUAAAAUUAGUAAAUAUAAUAAUUAUAUAAAUAAAUUUUAUAAUGAUUGGUUUUUAUAAUUAAUUCGGCAAAUUUUGUGCUCACCUGUUUAUCAAAAACAUGUCUUUUUAGUAUUUAAUAUAAAGUCUGACCUGCCCACUGAAUAAUGUUUAAAGGGCCGCAGUAUUUUGACUGUGCAAAGGUAGCAUAAUCAUUAGUCUUUUAAUUGAAGGCUGGUAUGAAUGGUUGGAUGAGAUACAAGCUGUGUCAUAAAAAUUAAAAUUUGAAUUUAACUUUUUAGUUAAAAGGCUAAAAUAAUUUUAAAAGACGAGAAGACCCUAUAGAGCUUUAUAUAAUAAAUAUUUAAAUUAUUAAGAUUUAUUAAAUUUAAUUUUUGUAUUAUAUUUUGUUGGGGUGACAAUAAAAUUUAUAAAACUUUUAUUUUUAUUUUACAUUUAUUUAUGUUUAAAUGAUCCAUUUUUAUUGAUUAUAAAUUUAAGUUACCUUAGGGAUAACAGCGUAAUUUUUUUUGAGAGUUCUUAUCGACAAAAAAGAUUGCGACCUCGAUGUUGGAUUAAGAGUAAUUUUGGGUGUAGCAGUUCAAAGUUUAAGUCUGUUCGACUUUUAGAAUCUUACAU